UAGAGGAACAAUUCCACCCAGUGCCUUAAUGGAGAACUAGACAUUUUUGAAAUAGAUGCUGUGUGUGGUGGUGCACACCUAUUAUUCCAGCACUUGUGAGGUUGAAACAAGAUCACUGCAAGCUAAAGACCAACCUGGGCUACAUGCUCUGGGGUAGCAGUAUGGUUCACAGCUCCAAAGAGUCAAGAAGUUAUACAAGCCCAAGUUUCACCCCUCACUGUAACAUCACUGAGAGUAACUCCGAGCUUUGAAACCCCAGGCUGUUUCCUGCUGAGAGGAUUUGAUAAGGUGAUGCACGUAAGGCACUUCAACAGCCUGCCCUGGAGCAAUUCUGACAGUGCUGAAUCCCCAGCACCUGCUGGCCACUCACACAUGUACAACGCAGAAGUACAGGGCUGAUAAGCAG
Chinchilla lanigera (long-tailed chinchilla) is the source of this 406-nucleotide long non-coding RNA. RefSeq lists it as uncharacterized. The record is from RefSeq and is a predicted model, not a curated record. The transcript is spliced from 4 exons. Lineage: Eukaryota; Metazoa; Chordata; Mammalia; Rodentia; Chinchillidae.